This 412-nucleotide ribosomal RNA is filed under the name uncultured microorganism. RNAcentral's name for it is "bacterial SSU rRNA". It matches the Rfam family "Archaeal small subunit ribosomal RNA", at positions 330 to 745 of the family's 1478-position model. The record is from RNAcentral.
GCGCAGCAGUCGAGAAACCUCCGCAAUGCUCGAAAGAGCGACGGGGGACUCCAAGUGCCUACGCUUUGCGUAGGCUUUUCCCAAGCCUAAAAAGCUUGGGGAAUAAGGGCUGGGUAAGACGGGUGCCAGCCGCCGCGGUAAUACCCGCAGCCCGAGUGGUGGCCGCUUUUAUUGGGCCUAAAGCGUCCGUAGCCGGUCUGGUAAAUGCCUGGGUAAAUCGUCUGGCUCAACCAGACGAAUUCCGGGUAGACUGCCAGACUAGGGACUGGAGGGAGGAGAGGGUACUCCGGGGGUAGGGGUGAAAUCCUGUAAUCCUCGGAGGACCACCGGUGGCGAAGGCGCUCUCCUAGGACGGGUCCGACGGUGAGGGACGAAAGCCAGGGGAGCAAACCGGAUUAGAUACCCCCGUAGU